CCGCGGUAAUACGCAGGGUGCGAGCGUCGUCCGGAAUCACUGGGCGUAAAGAGCUCGUAGGUGGUCUGUUGCGUCGUCUGUGAAAUCCCGGGGCUUAACUUCGGGGUGGCAGGCGAUACGGGCAUAACUAGAGUGCUGUAGGGGAGACUGGAAUUCCUGGUGUAGCGGUGGAAUGCGCAGAUAUCAGGAGGAACACCGAUGGCGAAGGCAGGUCUCUGGGCAGUAACUGACGCUGAGGAGCGAAAGCAUGGGGAGCGAACAGGAUUAGAUACCCUGGUAGUCCAUGCUGUAAACGGUGGGCGUUAGGUGUGGGGACCGGUUUGGUUUCUGUGCCGUAGCUAACGCAUUAAGCGCCCCGCCUGGGGAGUACGGCCGCAAGGCUAAAACUCAAAGGAAUUGACGGGGGCCCGCACAAGAAGGGCGAAUUC
This 428-nucleotide ribosomal RNA is filed under the name uncultured bacterium. RNAcentral describes it as "bacterial SSU rRNA". It matches the Rfam family "Bacterial small subunit ribosomal RNA", at positions 515 to 941 of the family's 1533-position model. The record is from RNAcentral.